GGCAGUGCCUGUGACAUACCAACUAGAUGUCCGCCCCAUCAAUUGUUGACGGUAGGUAGUGGCUUACCGUGGUUGCAACGGGUAACGGGGAAUCAGGGUUCGAUUCCUGAGAGGGAGCAUGAGAAACGGCUGCCAGAUCUAUGGAUUGCAUCAGGUGCGUAAAUUAUCCACUUUUGGCAUAAAGAGAUAGUGAUGAUAAAUAACGGAUCUGGGCAUUUGCCCAGAGAUCGUAAUGAAAUAAUUGUAAAAGCUUUACUGAAAGCAAUUGGAGGGCAAGUCUGGUGCCAGCAGCCGCGGCAAUUCCUGUUCCAAAAGUGUAUACUAAAGUUGCUGCAGUUGAAAAGCUCGUAGUUGGAUCUCGGUUUGCUUGGUGCGUGAGUGCCCAGUAGGCCUGUGCUGUAGUUGAGUGCUACGGCUUUACCUUGAACAAAAUAGAGUGCUUAAGGCAAGCUUCUGGUUUGAAUAUCUCAGCAUGGAAUAAUAGAAAAAGACUUUCUAUUGGUUUGCCAGUGAAAGUAAUGAUUAACAGAGACAGACGGGGGCAUUCGUAUUGCACCGCUAGAGGUGAAAUUCGUAGACCGGUGCAGGACGAACUACAGCGAAAGCAUUUGCCAAGAAUGUUUUCAUUAAUCAAGAACGAAAGUUGGAGUAUCGAAGUCGAUUAGAUCUCGUCGUAGUUCCAACUAUAAACGAUGCCAACUAGCACUCCGCUGAUAAUGUCUUGUUACAUUAGCGGGGUGGUUUCCGGGAAACCAAAGUCUUUGGGCUCCGGGGGAAGUAUGGUUGCAAAGCUGAAACUUAAAGGAAUUGACGGAAGGGCACCACCAGGAGUGGAGCCUGCGGCUCAAUUUGACUCAACACAGAAAAACUCACCCGGGCCGAACACAGUAAGGAUUGACAGAUUGAGAGCUUUUUCUUGAUACUGUGGGUAGUGGUGCAUGGCCGUUGUUGGUUGGUGGAGUGAUCUGUCUGGUUAAUUCCGAUAACGAACGAGACUCAAACCUACUUACUAGUUGUGCGAUUCUGGUCGCCCAACUACUUAGAGGGAUCAGUGUGUAAAACACUUGAGAAUGAGCAAUAACAGGUCUGUGAUUGCCCUUAGACGUUCGGGGCUGCACGCGCGCUACAAUGGAGAAAGCAGUGGGUGCCUUGCUUGAGAAAGCAAGUCAAGCCUUAAAAUUUCUCCGUGGCAGGAAUCGAGGCUUGUAAUUAUUCCUCGUGCACAAGGAAUUCCUAGUAAUCGCAGGUCAUUAGCCUGCAAUGAUUACGUCCCUGCC
This 1277-nucleotide ribosomal RNA is filed under the name cf. Pseudicyema truncatum EM-2019. RNAcentral describes it as "SSU rRNA". It matches the Rfam family "Eukaryotic small subunit ribosomal RNA", at positions 275 to 1657 of the family's 1831-position model. Lineage: Eukaryota; Metazoa; Dicyemida; Rhombozoa; Dicyemidae. The record is from RNAcentral.